AGGGAAUCUUCCACAAUGGACGAAAGUCUGAUGGAGCAACGCCGCGUGAGCGAUGAAGGCCUUCGGGUCGUAAAGCUCUGUUGUUAGGGAAGAACAAGUAUCGGAGAAACUGCCGGUACCUUGACGGGACCUAACCAGAAAGCCACGGCUGACUACGUGCCAGCAGCCGCGGUAAUACGUAGGUGGCAAGCGUUGUCCGGAAUUAUUGGGCGUAAAGCGCGCGCAGGCGGUCCUUUCAGUCUGAUGUGAAAGCCCACGGCUCAACCGUGGAGGGUCAUUGGAAACUGGGGGACUUGAGUGCAGAAGACGAAAGCGGAAUUCCACGUGUAGCGGUGAGAUGCGUAGAGAUGUGGAGGAACACCAGUGGCGAAGGCGGCUUUCUGGUCUGUAACUGACGCUGAGGCGCGAAAGCGUGGGGAGCAAAC
RNAcentral lists this ribosomal RNA (425 nucleotides) under uncultured bacterium. Its description in RNAcentral is "bacterial SSU rRNA". It matches the Rfam family "Bacterial small subunit ribosomal RNA", at positions 356 to 773 of the family's 1533-position model. The record is from RNAcentral.